RNAcentral lists this transfer RNA (72 nucleotides) under Coscinodiscus granii. RNAcentral describes it as "tRNA-Ala". It matches the Rfam family "tRNA". From Rfam's summary of the family: Transfer RNA (tRNA) molecules are approximately 80 nucleotides in length. Their secondary structure includes four short double-helical elements and three loops (D, anti-codon, and T loops). The record is from RNAcentral. Lineage: Eukaryota; Bacillariophyta; Coscinodiscophyceae; Coscinodiscales; Coscinodiscaceae.
GGGAGUAUAACUCAAAGGUAGAGUGUAUGCUUUGCAAGCAUAAAGUUAUCAGUUCAAAUCUGAUUAUUUCCA